This 577-nucleotide ribosomal RNA is filed under the name uncultured bacterium. RNAcentral's name for it is "bacterial SSU rRNA". It matches the Rfam family "Bacterial small subunit ribosomal RNA", at positions 623 to 1212 of the family's 1533-position model. The record is from RNAcentral.
CCGUUCAAUACUGCGGAGCUCGAGGGCAGAAGAGGGGGGUGGAAUUGCUGGUGCAGUGGUGAAAUGCGUAGAUAUCAGCAGGAACACCUGUGGCGAAAGCGGCCCCCUGGUCUGCUCCUGACACUCAGACGCGAAAGCUAGGGGAGUGAACGGGAUUAGAAACCCCGGUAAUCCUAGCCGUAAACGAUGGAUGCUAGGUGUGGGUGGUAUUGACCCCAUCCGUGCCGAAGCCAACGCGUUAAGCAUCCCGCCUGGGGACUACGGCCGCAAGGUUAAAACUCGAAGGAAUUGACGGGGACCCGCACAAGCAGCGGAGCGUGUGGUUUAAUUCGAUGCUACACGAAGAACCUUACCCAGGUUUGACAUGCAGGUAGUAGUGAAGCGAAAGCGGAACGAUCCUUCGGGAAGCCUGCACAGGUGCUGCAUGGCUGUCGUCAGCUCGUGCCGUGAGGUGUUUGGUUAAGUCCACUAACGAGCGCAACCCCUGUCGUCAGUUACAUGUGUCUGGCGAGACUGCCGGUCUUAAACCGGAGGAAGGUGGGGAUGACGUCAAGUCAGCAUGGCCUUUAUAUCUGGG